Molecule: non-coding RNA, 398 nt
Filed under: Pseudomonas putida S11
Lineage: Bacteria; Pseudomonadati; Pseudomonadota; Gammaproteobacteria; Pseudomonadales; Pseudomonadaceae
Description: bacterial LSU rRNA
Rfam family: Bacterial large subunit ribosomal RNA
Source: RNAcentral
GGUCAAGUGAAGAAGCGCAUACGGUGGAUGCCUUGGCAGUCAGAGGCGAUGAAAGACGUGGUAGCCUGCGAUAAGCUUUGGGGAGUCGGCAAACAGACUGUGAUCCAGAGAUCUCUGAAUGGGGGAACCCACUCAGCAUAAGCUGAGUAUCUUGUACUGAAUACAUAGGUGCAAGAGGCGAACCAGGGGAACUGAAACAUCUAAGUACCCUGAGGAAAAGAAAUCAACCGAGAUUCCCUUAGUAGUGGCGAGCGAACGGGGACCAGCCCUUAAGUUGAUUUGAGAUUAGUGGAACGCUCUGGAAAGUGCGGCCAUAGUGGGUGAUAGCCCCGUACACGAAAAUCUCUUGUCAAUGAAAUCGAGUAGGACGGAGCACGAGAAACUUUGUCUGAAUAUGG